UUAAUAGCCAUAUUAAUAUAGCAUCUUACUCAUCAUCAUCCUCAAUCCCCAUCCAUUCCAACGAAAAAGGGGAAGGUAGGCAAUUCAAAAAAAAGAAGGAAAACACAGAUUGUAGAGGCGUAUAGGCCAGGAGAGAGAGGAAACAGAAAGAGAAAAAAAGUUGAGAGAGAGAAAGAAAGAGAUCAUAGGGUGACAGAGAGAGGGGGGAAGGGGAGAGGGACGAAACGAUGGGGUUGUGCUUUGGUUGCCUCGACGGAGGCAACAAGCGUAUGACAAAAGAAGAAGAGAGAUUGGCCUCUGAAGAAGCGCGUGCUAGAGCUGCUGAAGCCGCCCAGAAAAAGCUAGAGCAACAAGGAGAGGCAAAGCAACCAGAAACGGUAAAGGAACCUGAAAACUCCAGCAAUGGCGAAGCCUUUGUAAAGGUUUAGGGAUACAAGGGGGCCACUUGAUUUUUGGCAAGUAUUAACUCACAAUGUUAAAUCUCUGCUAAAUCACCAUCAUACAAUUCUAGGGAAAUUGAUCCUUUUAUUUGAUUAGGAAUUUAUCUCACUUUUUCUAUGUGAAAAAAAAAUCUUAAAAAAUAUUUCCCCUUGAUAUGCUGCUUUGUUGCCCUUGCCGUUUGGCUAACAACCUGUUCAUGAAUCCAUUAAAGCACAUUGAUAAUAUGUUUUGACUUUUCAUGUGUUGAUGCAGUGGCAGAUGGAUUGAGGUUAGGCCAACUGUUUAUUACAUGUAAGUACUAUGUAUAGGUCCAGUCAAAUCCUCUGCACUGCCAGCUUUUCCUUGUUCCGGUGAUGAACAAACGGUCUUUCCUACAACUGUACCAUCGGUCAAAUUUGUUGUAUUCCAGAUCCAGAAAAUAUUCUGUUUGAUUGCAAAGUAUUCGUGAUGUAAAAGGAAACAAGGAUAAGUUGAGAAUGUAGUUUGGUGUUUUUAUUC
Molecule: long non-coding RNA, 939 nt
Organism: Glycine soja
Lineage: Eukaryota; Viridiplantae; Streptophyta; Magnoliopsida; Fabales; Fabaceae
Exons: 3
Source: RefSeq, a predicted model, not a curated record